GCCUGGGUAGCACAACGGUCAGUGCUCCGGCCCGUCAAGCCGGGAGGUGCCGGUUCGAAUCCGGUCUCAGGCGCC
RNAcentral lists this transfer RNA (75 nucleotides) under Paraplanobispora siamensis. Its description in RNAcentral is "Planobispora siamensis tRNA-Asp". It matches the Rfam family "tRNA". From Rfam's summary of the family: Transfer RNA (tRNA) molecules are approximately 80 nucleotides in length. Their secondary structure includes four short double-helical elements and three loops (D, anti-codon, and T loops). The record is from RNAcentral. Lineage: Bacteria; Bacillati; Actinomycetota; Actinomycetes; Streptosporangiales; Streptosporangiaceae.